UACGAAGGGGGCUAGCGUUGUUCGGAAUUACUGGGCGUAAAGCGUGCGCAGGCGGCUAUGCAAGACAGAUGUGAAAUCCCCGGGCUCAACCUGGGAACUGCAUUUGUGACUGCAUAGCUAGAGUACGGUAGAGGGGGAUGGAAUUCCGCGUGUAGCAGUGAAAUGCGUAGAUAUGCGGAGGAACACCGAUGGCGAAGGCAAUCCCCUGGACCUGUACUGACGCUCAUGCACGAAAGCGUGGGGAGCAAACAGG
Molecule: ribosomal RNA, 253 nt
Filed under: uncultured bacterium
Lineage: Bacteria
Description: partial 16S ribosomal RNA
Rfam family: Bacterial small subunit ribosomal RNA
Source: RNAcentral